AAGGGUAUAGUUCAGUGGUAGAGCACAUGCUUAGCAUGCAGGAGAUCAUGGGUUCGAGUCCCAGUACCUCCA
Molecule: transfer RNA, 72 nt
Filed under: Camelus bactrianus (Bactrian camel)
Lineage: Eukaryota; Metazoa; Chordata; Mammalia; Artiodactyla; Camelidae
Also listed under: 2 other names
Rfam family: tRNA
About the family: Transfer RNA (tRNA) molecules are approximately 80 nucleotides in length. Their secondary structure includes four short double-helical elements and three loops (D, anti-codon, and T loops).
Source: Rfam by way of RNAcentral